This 705-nucleotide long non-coding RNA is filed under the name Homo sapiens (human). RNAcentral describes it as "HSALNT0040098". Lineage: Eukaryota; Metazoa; Chordata; Mammalia; Primates; Hominidae. The record is from RNAcentral.
UUUUUAUCUAGACUGUGUCUUUAAAGUGGUGGAAAUGACCAAUUCUGUGUCUUAGGAGGGAGGUGGCAUGAAGCCGGGAAAUGACUGAGGAAGGGAUACUGAUAUGAAAUGAUUUAUUUCUGGAAAAUGCUCUUGGACUGUCCCCCUUCAGGUGUCCUGGUGCAGGCUUUCAGGGAAGGGAGAGCCCCUAACCUCGCCCCACCUCCCAAAACUUCUCCCCCUGCCGUCGGGCUAUGGGGGGACAAGGACUGAACGGGGUAGUGGGAGCCAGGUCCCUGGUUCCCUUCACGCCCCCACCCCCAGCCUCAGCUCUGUCUGGGUGGAACGAAUGUCUGCUAAUGAACUAAACAAACAGGUCUCUUAAUCUUAUCAUGGAGCUGACCCAGAGACUGGCACAGAUAUCCAAAGUAUCAUAAUUGGCAGGUCAGAAUUAAAACUACAUACAUCAUGGUGACUUUAUAGCUGAGGCAAAGUGGAGCUCAAGUGUUACUUUCCCAGUAAGCAAAUCAUGAUGAAGUAUCAUGCUGGUGACUAAUUUAACUAACAUUGUCCAGGAAAUUGCUGUUGUCCAGGAAGAGAAGAGUUGAGCCGAGUGUCAACUACUAGGCUUCUGGCACCAUCCUGCACAAGAAAUUGGAGCAUAAGGGACAUUUCCACAUUCUAACUUUACAUGAAGACUCAGGACUUUGAAAGCCCAUGAGAAAG